Molecule: long non-coding RNA, 571 nt
Organism: Camellia sinensis
Lineage: Eukaryota; Viridiplantae; Streptophyta; Magnoliopsida; Ericales; Theaceae
Source: RefSeq, a predicted model, not a curated record
UGAGGGCGGGGGCUGUUUAAUUUCAAACCCCUCUCUGACGCACAGAUGUAUGCCUGGGGAGUCGUGCUUUUUCUCUCCUUUCCCUUCCCAUCCAACGAAGCCUCCUCUAGCAACCUCAAAAGGUUCGACGAGAGAGAGAGAGACAGGCAUUUCGAAUCCUAAAGCUUCCAACUUUUCUCUCUCUACUCUUCUCUUUUUUUUAGGGCUGAAAUGUGUUCUGUCACUCGAUCUCUGGCCGAUACGGUCCAUGGCGUUGUCUACUUCAGAAAAGGUUCACAGACACAGCUGAAACUUGAUGCUGGGGUUUUGCUUUGUUCCUACAUUUCAAGUGAACAAAUCUUAUAUUACUUGGAGGUAUUCUCAGAAGUAAUGAAUUAAUACACCUAAGAUUUGGAAUUGGGAAUGAAGCCAUUGGUCCGUGUAGCAUAUUCAUGUAUGUAUCGAAUUAAUAUUUCCUGUAAAGGAUUUAGCUAGUUUGAUAUUCUUUUGGAUUUCGAAACUCUAGCAUUGCUACUUCUAUGGUUCUUUUUGAUUUUUGUAUCAUUAAUCUAUUUCUCUCUUUCCUCUAUUA